RNAcentral lists this ribosomal RNA (425 nucleotides) under uncultured bacterium. RNAcentral's name for it is "partial 16S ribosomal RNA". It matches the Rfam family "Bacterial small subunit ribosomal RNA", at positions 354 to 796 of the family's 1533-position model. The record is from RNAcentral.
GUGGGGAAUCUUAGACAAUGGGGGAAACCCUGAUCUAGCCAUGCCGCGUGAGCGAUGAAGGCCUUAGGGUUGUAAAGCUCUUUCAGCUGGGAAGAUAAUGACGGUACCAGCAGAAGAAGCCCCGGCUAACUCCGUGCCAGCAGCCGCGGUAAUACGGAGGGGGCUAGCGUUGUUCGGAAUUACUGGGCGUAAAGCGCGCGUAGGCGGACCAGAAAGUUGGAGGUGAAAUCCCAGGGCUCAACCUUGGAACUGCCUUCAAAACUCCUGGUCUUGAGUUCGAGAGAGGUGAGUGGAAUUCCGAGUGUAGAGGUGAAAUUCGUAGAUAUUCGGAGGAACACCAGUGGCGAAGGCGGCUCACUGGCUCGAUACUGACGCUGAGGUGCGAAAGCGUGGGGAGCAAACAGGAUUAGAAACCCCUGUAGUCC